This 742-nucleotide ribosomal RNA is filed under the name uncultured Pseudomonadaceae bacterium. RNAcentral's name for it is "bacterial SSU rRNA". It matches the Rfam family "Bacterial small subunit ribosomal RNA", at positions 88 to 827 of the family's 1533-position model. The record is from RNAcentral. Lineage: Bacteria; Pseudomonadati; Pseudomonadota; Gammaproteobacteria; Pseudomonadales; Pseudomonadaceae.
GGAUUCAGCGGCGGACGGGUGAGUAAUGCCUAGGAAUCUGCCUGGUAGUGGGGCGAUAACGUCCGGAAACGGGCGCUAAUACCGCAUACGUCCUGAGGGAGAAAGUGGGGGAUCUUCGGACCUCACGCUAUCAGAUGAGCCUAGGUCGGAUUAGCUAGUUGGUGGGGUAAAGGCCUACCAAGGCGACGAUCCGUAACUGGUCUGAGAGGAUGAUCAGUCACACUGGAACUGAGACACGGUCCAGACUCCUACGGGAGGCAGCAGUGGGGAAUAUUGGACAAUGGGCGAAAGCCUGAUCCAGCCAUGCCGCGUGUGAAGAAGGUCUUCGGAUUGUAAAGCACUUUAAGUUGGGAGGAAGGGCAGUAAGUUAAUACCUUGCUGUUUUGACGCUACCAACAGAAUAAGCACCGGCUAACUUCGUGCCAGCAGCCGCGGUAAUACGAAGGGUGCAAGCGUUAAUCGGAAUUACUGGGCGUAAAGCGCGCGUAGGUGGUUCAGCAAGUUGGAUGUGAAAUCCCCGGGCUCAACCUGGGAACUGCAUCCAAAACUACUGAGCUAGAGUACGGUAGAGGGUGGUGGAAUUUCCUGUGUAGCGGUGAAAUGCGUAGAUAUAGGAAGGAACACCAGUGGCGAAGGCGACCACCUGGACUGAUACUGACACUGAGGCACGAAAGCGUGGGGAGCAAACAGGAUUAGAUACCCUGGUAGUCCACGCCCUAAACGAUGCGAACUGGAUGUUGGG